This 478-nucleotide ribosomal RNA is filed under the name uncultured bacterium. Its description in RNAcentral is "partial 16S ribosomal RNA". It matches the Rfam family "Bacterial small subunit ribosomal RNA", at positions 28 to 523 of the family's 1533-position model. The record is from RNAcentral.
GACGAACGCUGGCGGCGUGCUUAACACAUGCAAGUCGAACGGUAAGGCCCUUCGGGGUACACGAGUGGCGAACGGGUGAGUAACACGUGGGUGAUCUGCCCUGCACUUCGGGAUAAGCCUGGGAAACUGGGUCUAAUACCGGAUAGGACCACUGCCUGCAUGGGGGGUGGUGGAAAGCUUUUGCGGUGUGGGAUGGGCCCGCGGCCUAUCAGCUUGUUGGUGGGGGGAUGGCCUACCAAGGCGACGACGGGUAGCCGGCCUGAGAGGGUGACCGGCCACAAUGGGACUGAGAUACGGCCCAGACUCCUACGGGAGGCAGCAGUGGGGAAUAUUGCACAAUGGGCGCAAGCCUGAUGCAGCGACGCCGCGUGAGGGAUGACGGCCUUCGGGUUGUAAACCUCUUUCAGCACCGACGAAGCGCAAGUGACGGUAGGUGCAGAAGAAGGACCGGCCAACUACGUGCCAGCCGCCGCGGUAA